GAUGAACGCUAGCGGCAGGCCUAACACAUGCAAGUCGAGGGAGAGGUUACCUUCGGGUAACCAAAACCGGCGCACGGGUGCGUAACGCGUAUACAAUCUGCCUUUCACAUAGGGAUAGCCCGAAGAAAUUUGGAUUAAUACCUAAUGGUAUAUAAGAGCGGCAUCGUUUUUAUAUUAAAGCUACGGUGGUGAAAGAUGAGUAUGCGUUCUAUUAGCUAGUUGGAGAGGUAACGGCUCCCCAAGGCGACGAUAGAUAGGGGUUCUGAGAGGGAUGUCCCCCACACUGGUACUGAGAUACGGAGCAGACACCUACGGGAGGCAGCAGUGAGGAAUAUUGGACAAUGGUCGGAAGACUGAUCCAGCCAUGCCGCGUGCAGGAUGAAGGUCCUAUGGAUUGUAAACUGCUUUUGGAAGGGAAGAAUAAGGAGUACGUGUACUUUGAUGACGGUACCUGACGAAUAAGCAUCGGCUAACUCCGUG
Molecule: ribosomal RNA, 480 nt
Filed under: uncultured bacterium
Lineage: Bacteria
Description: partial 16S ribosomal RNA
Rfam family: Bacterial small subunit ribosomal RNA
Source: RNAcentral